RNAcentral lists this ribosomal RNA (165 nucleotides) under Nitrosospira sp. RNAcentral describes it as "partial 23S ribosomal RNA". It matches the Rfam family "Bacterial large subunit ribosomal RNA", at positions 2765 to 2925 of the family's 2925-position model. Lineage: Bacteria; Pseudomonadati; Pseudomonadota; Betaproteobacteria; Nitrosomonadales; Nitrosomonadaceae. The record is from RNAcentral.
UAACCGCUGAAAGCAUCUAAGCGGGAAACUCGCCUCAAGAUGAGACUUCCCGGGGUUUAAAACCCCCUAAAGGUUCGUCGAAGACCACGACGUUGAUAGGUCAGGUGUGGAAGCGCAGUAAUGCGUUAAGCUAACUGAUACUAAUUGACCGUGAGGCUUGAUCCC